GCCUGUUUCUAAAAGGAGCGGCAUGUGCCCUCUGGCCAAAAACACAGCAACAGCCCACCCCCAAAUUCAGCCAGAGAGAGACAGCGCCCCUCUCCCUGCGCAGCCCCAUCUCCCCGGCCCCCUCCGGGCUGCUCGGAGGCAGGGGCCGGCGCAGACGCUCAGGCUCCCGCAUUUUACUGCUGCUCUGCAGAACUGGGGCUGCUGGGCCCCGGAGCCCUUCACGGCACCCUCACUGCCCCCGCAUCCUGCCGCCAGUACCGAAUUUAAUGCAAACAGCUCAUCUGACAAAUGCCCAUCAACGCCGGCUGUCUCCCACGGAUCCCCAGCUGCUCUGUUUCACCGAGAUCGUACUGCAGUUGUGGACACACCGCAUUUGCAAAAGCGUCUCUGCAGGACAGGCGCUCCCUGCUCGCCUCCUCCCCGACCGCCCCGGCGUCAGCCCCGGGCAACGGCGGCUCGCUCAGGGCGAAGGGAGCCGGCCUCGCCUCCGGCUCCAGCCGCGAGGGCCGGCUCGGGGAACGCGCAGGCACGCCGCGGGACAUGCACCAAGGCCAGGAGGUUACCCCAGCAUCUGCAAGGCCUCAGUCACGGACCAGGCCUGACGGCGCAAGGUCCUCUGCAAACACACGACAAGGAUAUCCUGCCGGAGGUAUCGCGCUUGAAGUCUGGAGAGGUGGCAAGACAGAUCCAGAUGUACAGAGGGGACAAAGACAGGCUAAGCUAAUAUGGUCAGCAGGUCUCUGCAGCAGGUAGCUGAUAAAAAGUUAAGAGAUAGAAAUAAGAAACAAGAAUUAUUUUAAAGAAGGACUUUUUUUUAAGGAAUGGCAUUUUUUGCAGGAAAGCAAACUCAAGCAGGAGGGCAACGUGAAAGAAGCACGAAGAUGUUAAUUUGAAAUGUAAACAAGUACGUGAAAACCAUGCAAGGGCGGGUGGGUGAGCUGAUACUGCAGUAUUGAAUGAGAUCAGGAAGAAAAUGGAGUAGUCCAUGAGGAAUCUUGAAAAUGAAGCCUAUAUUCAACAACAGCCAGAAAUGAACUAUGCAGCAGCAUUAGUGAAGAUCAACGGGAAGAUGAAAUUUGCCAUGGCCAAAGAACAGAGUUUCGCACUAAUCUGCAUGCGCAGUGACAACCACCCAGAGGACAGUUCGUACAGGACACCUGUACUGGACAUCUCAGAGGUUUCCUGCGUUGCCACAUGAUCCUGCCAUGCUCCCAGAUUUAUCCCUAGCUGUCUAUCUGGUGGCUGCAGGAAUAAGUCUAACUGCACUGGAGCCCUUGUUCAGGCUACCCAGGCCCUUGGAUCUUUGCUCCAGGUAUCUGCAACCCCUCCGAGCUGGAGGGUAACCCCGAGCCUUUCAGAAACUGCGCUGUGUCCAGCGGGCCGGCUGGGAGCCCCGGCUCGGCAUUUCCACAUGACAAGCGGGGACGCGUCAUCCACUCCCACAGCCUCCCGAAACGGAGCCAAGGAUUCCCAAUGCCGGCAGCCAACACAUCAGCCCCCCACGCUCCACUGAGCAAACCUGAUGCACAAAAAUCUAGGUCAGACCCACGCAGACGGUGCCUUGUGGCAAGGCUCGGAGGGACAUCGCAAGAUCGAACCUCCCGUUCCCAGCUCCACUAUGCCUUUGCUCCAAGUCCCAAAUCCCUCUCUGUGGAAGGGAAAGCAUAAACCUUCCCCACACAAAUUUUAAGCCCGCAGGGGUCAUCACAUCAGCCUGUCUGACCUGACACAAUGCUGCCCACCGCUUUUACUUACUUACACUCUCUCCAUGCUUCCAUUAUUUUGCCUGGGACUUCUGACUACUCACACAAAUUAAUUCUCCUCCAGCCGUCUUGUUUUUUCUGAAUAUUGCAAGAUUAAUUCAAAAAGAGAGUAAGCUGUGGGCAGCUCUUUUAUGACUCUUGCUAUUUAUCACUAGUCUCACAUCCUUCUUCAUUAAUGAAGAAUUAAUGAAGUCACUCUGUUUCUUUCCAAAUGCUCAGAGUUCAAAAAGUUCAUAUACAGAAUAUGUUUUUAAUAGUUGGUAUUUCUAUUUGAUAGAUAUGUUUAAUAUUUAGCAUUUGUUUCUGAUGUAUAUUAAAACUCUCAUUUUUUCUUAUUUCACAUCAUCUUUCUUGAAUUUCUGUCAAUUUCUUUUUUCCUGUUUGUUAUAUAUUCUUGUAUGUCUCAUUGCAGCUUUACCCAAAUGAGGCUUAUUGAGCAUUUAAUUAAAAUCACCCUCUUUCACAGCUGUGGUUUCUCAGUCAUCUAAUAAAUGCUUUCUAAACAGAA
Long non-coding RNA from Dromaius novaehollandiae (emu), 2271 nucleotides. RefSeq lists it as uncharacterized. The transcript has 2 exons. The record is from RefSeq and is a predicted model, not a curated record. Lineage: Eukaryota; Metazoa; Chordata; Aves; Casuariiformes; Dromaiidae.